RNAcentral lists this long non-coding RNA (465 nucleotides) under Cottoperca gobio. RNAcentral's name for it is "lncRNA (ENSCGOG00000020173.1)". The record is from RNAcentral. Lineage: Eukaryota; Metazoa; Chordata; Actinopteri; Perciformes; Bovichtidae.
GGGAGAGUGAGGGAGGAGAAUCAGUGGCAGAGAGGAUGCUCACUGGGAGUGUGCAACACUAAAGAGCUGAGAGUGAGGCCAGCAGGUGAACGACUGAUGGAAAGCGAGUGCAAGGGAGCUGACUGAAGCUGCAGAGAGAGAGAGAGAGAGAGAAGAGUACAAGAAGAGAGAGGAGAUAACUGUAAAAGAGAGGGAGGGAGAAGGAGCUUAACUAGAGGAGAAGCAUAGACAGUGAGUCAUCUGCCAGAGUGCUGGUCACUGUCCGGACUUCCCAGGGAGCGCCCAGCUGCCACUGUGUGAGAAACAAGAUGGGAGUGACCCCCGCAUUUCUGCAUCACUAGAGCCCCAGCUGUUCCAGCCUACACUCCCAUACACCACCUCCCCAUUCCACAAGGUAGGCGGAGAACUGGGAGGGAGGGGGUUGCACUUUGAACCCCUGACCUUAUCUGAUGGACCUCUGUGUGA